UACAGAGGUCUCAAGCGUUGUUCGGAUUCAUUGGGCGUAAAGGGUGCGUAGGCGGCGCGGUAAGUCGGGUGUGAAAUCUCGGGGCUUAACUCCGAAACUGCAUUCGAUACUGCCGUGCUUGAGGACUGGAGAGGAGACUGGAAUUUACGGUGUAGCGGUGAAAUGCGUAGAUAUCGUAAGGAACACCGGUGGCGAAAGCGGCGUACUGGGUCUUAUCUGACGCUGAGGCACGAAAGCUAGGGGAGCGAACGGG
RNAcentral lists this ribosomal RNA (253 nucleotides) under uncultured bacterium. Its description in RNAcentral is "partial 16S ribosomal RNA". It matches the Rfam family "Bacterial small subunit ribosomal RNA", at positions 524 to 776 of the family's 1533-position model. The record is from RNAcentral.